GAGAAAAGGCGGACAGCGCCUUGAGGGUACCCAGAGAACGGAGAAGAACAGAGCUGGGUCACGGCGAGAAAAGGCAGACGGCGGAACCGCGGAUGGCGGAACAGAGCAGUGGCGCGACGCGCUUGUGGUGGUGGUGGCAGCUACGAAACUGCAGUGCUAGUUGCCUGCUCCGGUGCGGCGGUGCCGGCUGCGGGCGAAGGAGAAAAGGAUUCGUG
Molecule: long non-coding RNA, 215 nt
Filed under: Arachis ipaensis
Lineage: Eukaryota; Viridiplantae; Streptophyta; Magnoliopsida; Fabales; Fabaceae
Description: long non-coding RNA (AIPA_LNC000971)
Source: RNAcentral